AGAUUGAACGCUGGCGGCAUGCUUUACACAUGCAAGUCGAACGGCAGCGCGGGGCAACCUGGCGGCGAGUGGCGAACGGGUGAGUAAUAUAUCGGAACGUACCCAAGAGUGGGGGAUAACGUAGCGAAAGUUACGCUAAUACCGCAUACGAUCUAAGGAUGAAAGCAGGGGACCGCAAGGCCUUGUGCUCCUGGAGCGGCCGAUAUCUGAUUAGCUAGUUGUAGGUAAGG
This 230-nucleotide ribosomal RNA is filed under the name uncultured soil bacterium. Its description in RNAcentral is "partial 16S ribosomal RNA". It matches the Rfam family "Bacterial small subunit ribosomal RNA", at positions 26 to 262 of the family's 1533-position model. The record is from RNAcentral.